RNAcentral lists this ribosomal RNA (164 nucleotides) under Elymus burchan-buddae. Its description in RNAcentral is "5.8S ribosomal RNA". It matches the Rfam family "5.8S ribosomal RNA". Rfam says of the family: 5.8S ribosomal RNA (5.8S rRNA) is a component of the large subunit of the eukaryotic ribosome. It is transcribed by RNA polymerase I as part of the 45S precursor that also contains 18S and 28S rRNA. Lineage: Eukaryota; Viridiplantae; Streptophyta; Magnoliopsida; Poales; Poaceae. The record is from RNAcentral.
CACACGACUCUCGGCAACGGAUAUCUCGGCUCUCGCAUCGAUGAAGAACGUAGCGAAAUGCGAUACCUGGUGUGAAUUGCAGAAUCUCGCGAACCAUCGAGUCUUUGAACGCAAGUUGCGCCCGAGGCCAUUCGGCCGAGGGCACGCCCGCCUGGGCGUCACGC